RNAcentral lists this long non-coding RNA (477 nucleotides) under Arabidopsis thaliana (thale cress). Its description in RNAcentral is "long non-coding RNA (ATHA_LNC000732)". The record is from RNAcentral. Lineage: Eukaryota; Viridiplantae; Streptophyta; Magnoliopsida; Brassicales; Brassicaceae.
UGACACUAAUAAGCAAAAUAAGAGGGAAUAUUAAGAUGACAUCUACUAUGGUUCUAUUCCUCCUUCUUCUUCUUGUGUUUCCGCAUAUGGAUAAAGCCCUAGGCGCACACGAGGAAUCCCAGAAACAAGGUUAGUCUUUUGGUAUUUUAGAUGUUCCGAGGUCAUUAGUAUCAUUUUACGUUAUUAAUUAGUUGUGUUUAAUCCUGAUUUUGGUUUGAAUUUUGGAAUUUCUCCUCAUUUGAAUAGACAAAUGAGCACAAAGAUGAUCAAACAUUGACACUGUAAUAUAUAAUGUAAUGCUUUUCGGGUGGUGUAGGUGCAGAAAAGACUUACCAUGAUGCACGCUUUACUAUUCCUAUUAAGCCAAAAUAUAUUCCUAAGGUUAUACGCCCUACGCCAAAAGAUCCGCCUAUUCCGGAAUGUCUUCGAAAAGGCACAUGUAGUCGUCUUCAUUUAUCUCCUCCUCCGCCCCAGAGG